RNAcentral lists this ribosomal RNA (502 nucleotides) under uncultured bacterium. Its description in RNAcentral is "bacterial SSU rRNA". It matches the Rfam family "Bacterial small subunit ribosomal RNA", at positions 35 to 572 of the family's 1533-position model. The record is from RNAcentral.
GCUGGCGGCGCGCUUACACAUGCAAGUCGCACGAGAAAGGGAGCAAUCCCAAGUAAAGUGGCGUACGGGUGAGUAACACGUGGAUCAUCUACCUCUUGGUGGGGAAUACCCCCGGGAAACUGGGGACAAUUCCGCAUAAGUUCGUGAGAAGAAAGCCGAAAGGCGCCGGGAGAGGAGUCCGCGGCUGAUUAGCAGGUUGGCGGGGUAAAGGCCCACCAAGGCGAAGAUCGGUAGCCGGCCUGAGAGGGCACACGGCCACACUGGCACUGAAACACGGGCCAGACUCCUACGGGAGGCAGCAGUGGGGAAUCUUGCACAAUGGGGGAAACCCUGAUGCAGCGACGCCGCGUGAGCGAUGAAGCCCUUCGGGGUGUAAAGCUCUUUCGACGGGAACGAUUAUGACGGUACCCGAAGAAGAAGCUGCGGCUAACUACGUGCCAGCAGCCGCGGUAAUACGUANGCAGCAAGCGUUGUUCGGAAUUACUGGGCGUAAAGAGUGUGU